Long non-coding RNA from Strongylocentrotus purpuratus (purple sea urchin), 1525 nucleotides. RefSeq lists it as uncharacterized. The transcript has 3 exons. Lineage: Eukaryota; Metazoa; Echinodermata; Echinoidea; Camarodonta; Strongylocentrotidae. The record is from RefSeq and is a predicted model, not a curated record.
AUUUCUGGAUUUUCUGGCGUGGUGGUGUUGUUAACUGUACUGGCAUUUGUGGGUGGUUUCAUCCGCUCAAAGAAGAGAGAUGUUGAAGGAUCAUCAGCCGCAGCUAUACAGACCUCUGGGAAUCUACCAGAUGAUGAAACAUCUCACAACAGCAAGCCAACAUCAAUAAGCGGUGUUAAGCCUUUAGACAUGACCUUCGACCAAUCAGACCCUACAUACGCAAUUCCCGAUGUUUCCGAAGUACCCCAUACCUAUAUGGCAUUGAAGUGCAAAUCCUCAGUUAGUACUAGCCAACAAGUCUAUCAUCUCAGCACCCCAAUUGACGAUGAUGUUGAUGCUGUAACUAACGUUAGCCCCACUCUCGUCCGAAAGCAAGUGAAGACACAUUCACAUCUGAAGGAGGAGCCUACUUAUGUUAACACUAAAGGUGCGUCAAGUUAUUGUGAAAUUAGUACAGAUAUUCCAGACAUUGUUUAGGAUCACACUGACCAAUCAGACCUCACAAAUGUAGUUCCAGAUGUUCCCGAAACAACCCAUACCUACAUGGCAAUGAAACCUAUACUAAAGUGCGAAUCCCGAGCUAGUAAUACCCAACAGGUUUCCAAUCCCACCACCUCAGUUGAUGAUGAUCAUGGUGAUGCUGUACUUAGCGUUAGCCCCACUCUCGUCCGCAAGCAAGUGAAGGCACAUUCAAAUUUGACGGAGGGGCCUACUUAUGUGAACACCGAAGGUGCGUCAACUUAUUGUGAAUAAGGGGAAUGUAAGGGCCUUUGUGUAAAAUCAAUGUUAACUACCACAUUAUCAUUAUUUGCAGUAUGUUCAGUAACGAACGAAUUGCAUCUUAAUCAUAACAAUGAUGCAAAUAAUAUGAAUUACACGGGUAUUCAAAACAUUGUUUACGAAAACAUUAUGUGUGUACUAUUCUAACCAAUAAAUCAAUCACUAUAAAACAUUUAAGAUAGAAAUAGUUAUCCUUCACGCCGGAAUACUUAAUGAGUGGUUAUUACAAAUAGUUUUACACCAGCGUUGUAUACGGUACUUUAUUGAAAUUUCAUGUUCACAUUAUCAACAAACUAUAAUCUGAUGUAGAUAUCAAAAGAUUGAAAUGAUUCAUGUACAAUUUAGAAUGAAGUAACUUGAAAAGACGCAACACAAUAUUGUACUGUGUGGAAGAUCGAAAUGAGGAAGUGUAUGACAUGUUUUAAUUAAGUGUUAUUAUUAUAUCAACACUUUAAUCUGCCUAAGACGUCCAGAGUUUGCGUAUGACAAGGAAAUUGCUAAUAAAAGAAAUGUUUGUAGCAACCAUUGUAUCAAAGACUGGUUUGCGAUAAAAUAAAAAAUUAAAAAAAAGUAUUUAUGUAAGUGGAGUGACAGUUUUAAGCACCUAUUGUGUAUGGAAAGUAGAAUCGAGGCUUUGCCAGGUCCACUUGUCCACUUGCACGCACACUCAGAUCUUCAGCCCAGCACCUCCUGCAAGUUCCUCGUCACUCAACUUAUUUUUACGGCAACAUGGCUUUUGAAGUGG